Molecule: long non-coding RNA, 753 nt
Filed under: Homo sapiens (human)
Lineage: Eukaryota; Metazoa; Chordata; Mammalia; Primates; Hominidae
Description: HSALNT0305630
Source: RNAcentral
AAGAAACAGUCCAUUAAAGAAAGGAAGGGGCAAGGCGCAGUGGUUCAUGCCGGUAAUCCCAGCACUUUGGGAGGCUGAGGUGGGAGAAUCUCUUGAAGCUAGGAGUUUGAGACCAGCCUGGGCAACAAAGAAGACCCUAUCUCUAAAGAAAAUUUAAAAUUUAGCCAGGCACGAUGGCGCACAUCUGUAGUUCCAGACACUUGAAAGGUUGAGCCGAUCCACCUGGGAACAAAGAAAGAGCUGCAAUGCAUUGCGGGCUGCUGGUCAGAUCCUGCAAGAUUCCACAAUGAUUAUGAGGCCUCCCCAGCCCAUGUGGAACUUUUUCUUAGGGAGAGGGAGGAGCAGGAUGGUGGAGUAGGAGGCUCCACUGAUCAUCCUCCCUGCAAGGACACCAAUUUAUCAACUAUCUACACAGAAAAGACAUCUUCAUAAGAACCAAAGAUCAGCUGAAUGGUGCCUGCAACUUCUGUGACCAUUUUGCCAUGUUGGGACCAAGUGUGAAUGCAAAGUUUGCACAUAGAGGAGAACUGACCAAUCGGAGAAUGGAAAACUUCUUGAUCAUUGAUGACAGCAGUCAACCAGUGAAGCCAUCAAGCCUGGAGUUUUUCCUACUGCUGGAAUUCUUGUCAUUGCAGAAAAUCAAUGUUGUGUUCUGAUUUGGGGCAUUCUAGCUUGCAAAUAGAGGCAUCUUAGCUGACACCAAAUGCUCCCUAAGGAUAUUCCAAAGAUAAAAUUGAUGUCUUCAUUUUGAAG